AUUGAACGCUGGCGGCAUGCUUUACACAUGCAAGUCGAACGGUAACAGGUUAAGCUGACGAGUGGCGAACGGGUGAGUAAUGCAUCGGAACGUGCCCGAACGUGGGGGAUAACGCAGCGAAAGCUGCGCUAAUACCGCAUACGAUCUGAGGAUGAAAGCGGGGGACCGUAAGGCCUCGCGCGAUCGGCGCGGCCGAUGUCAGAUUAGGUAGCUGGUGGGGUAAAGGCUCACCAAGCCGACGAUCUGUAGCUGGUCUGAGAGGACGACCAGCCACACUGGGACUGAGACACGGCCCAGACUCCUACGGGAGGCAGCAGUGGGGAAUUUUGGACAAUGGGCGAAAGCCUGAUCCAGCAAUGCCGCGUGCAGGAAGAAGGCCUUCGGGUUGUAAACUGCUUUUGUACGGAGCGAAAAGGCUCUCUCUAAUACAGGGGGCUCAUGACGGUACCGUAAGAAUAAGCACCGGCUAACUACGUGCCAGCAGCCGCGGUAA
RNAcentral lists this ribosomal RNA (493 nucleotides) under uncultured bacterium. Its description in RNAcentral is "partial 16S ribosomal RNA". It matches the Rfam family "Bacterial small subunit ribosomal RNA", at positions 29 to 523 of the family's 1533-position model. The record is from RNAcentral.